AGCUCCAGUGUUCCUGCACAGUGACUGGCUCCGCCCACCAACCUGACAUCAUCAGACUCUGAACAGAAAGCAGAGAGUCAUCAGUAAAGAAGUGAAUUUACUUCUGAAAAGCAAAGUUGAGUGCUGCUUCUGAAAAAAAACGUCUGCAACAAACAUAGCUGUGGAUGCUGAUUACAGCUCCUCCUGCAAACCUCCUCUCUCCUGCAGACAUCUCUUAGUAACUGAAACAUCUGUCGUGAUGGAAGAAGAAGAUUAGGAUCUGAUCUGUGGCUGACAAACAGGAAUCAAAAAGAAGGACAGGUAGUGAAGAUAGAACCAGGAAAGAUCAUGGACCUCACAGGUCCAUGCUAUAAAAACAGCAGAGUCACAGACCCGACUUAGACAAGAAGACUCACAGGACUCCAACUGAAAUGAGAAACCUGGGGAAGAAAGCUCUAAACAAAAAAAAACAAAAAAAACCACACACAGAAGAAGAGAAAGACACAUGACAGGCCCACCCUGCAUCACAGAACCCAGAUCCUGCUCCAGAAUCUCACUGUACCUCCCCUGAACCAGCAGCAGAAGAUCCAGAGCUGAUUAUCACCCAUCCUUCAGACAUCACCAAGGAAACCAACGAGAGGAGGUGGA
Oreochromis niloticus (Nile tilapia) is the source of this 627-nucleotide long non-coding RNA. RefSeq lists it as uncharacterized. The transcript is spliced from 2 exons. The record is from RefSeq and is a predicted model, not a curated record. Lineage: Eukaryota; Metazoa; Chordata; Actinopteri; Cichliformes; Cichlidae.